RNAcentral lists this long non-coding RNA (387 nucleotides) under Gallus gallus (chicken). Lineage: Eukaryota; Metazoa; Chordata; Aves; Galliformes; Phasianidae. The record is from RNAcentral.
CGGCCGUUCACCGGUGUGGAUGCGUCGGUGUUGGGUGAGGUUGGAGCCACGGCUGAAGCCUUUGCCACACUCAACGCAACGGUGUGGUUUUUCGGCGGCGACGGCCGUCCGGCACCGCCGGGAGCAGCCCGGGCAGCAACGUAGUUUGGUAGCGGCACCGCGGGCGCAUUCGGCGCACGGCGCCGGCGUCGGCUCGCUCUUCUUGGUGCUGCGGCGUUGGGUUUUGGCAACGGGUUCCGGUUGCGAUGGGGACGGUGAUGGGGAUGGGGAGGGAUCGGCUCCGUUUGGGGACGCGUCCUCGGCGCCGGCACCUCCAUCCCGGGGGCUGCGUGUCGCUCUCCUCCUCCCACGCCGGGCCCCCCCCGGGCCCUGUUCCCGCACCAGCUC